UGGGGAAUCUUGCGCAAUGGCCUAACGGCUGACGCAGCGACGCCGCGUGAGGGAUGACGCUCUUCGGAGUGUAAACCUCUUUUGCCCGGGACGAAUUGCCAACUUCAGUUGGCUUGACGGUACCGGGUGAAUAAGCACCGGCUAACUCCGUGCCAGCAGCCGCGGUAAUACGGGGGGUGCGAGCGUUGUCCGGAAUCACUGGGCGUAAAGGGCGCGUAGGUGGUCUUAUAAGGGUGUGGUGAAAGCCCGGGGCUCAACCCCGGGUCGGCCGUGCCGACUGUAAGACUAGAGUGCUGUAGGGGCAGGCGGAAUUCCGGGUGUAGCGGUGGAAUGCGUAGAGAUCCGGAGGAAGACCGGUGGCGAAGGCGGCCUGCUGGGCAGAUACUGACACUGAGGCGCGACAGCGUGGGGAGCAAACAG
Molecule: ribosomal RNA, 420 nt
Filed under: uncultured bacterium
Lineage: Bacteria
Description: bacterial SSU rRNA
Rfam family: Bacterial small subunit ribosomal RNA
Source: RNAcentral